This 833-nucleotide ribosomal RNA is filed under the name uncultured Bacteroidota bacterium. Its description in RNAcentral is "bacterial SSU rRNA". It matches the Rfam family "Bacterial small subunit ribosomal RNA", at positions 32 to 855 of the family's 1533-position model. Lineage: Bacteria; Pseudomonadati; Bacteroidota. The record is from RNAcentral.
AACGCUAGCGGCAGGCUUAACACAUGCAAGUCGAGGGGUAACAGGGAUUGCUUGCAAUCCGCUGACGACCGGCGCACGGGUGCGUAACGCGUAUGCAACCUACCUUCUACAGGGGGAUAGUCAAUAGAAAUGUUGAAUAAUACCCCAUACGAUCUUUGAAUAGCAUUAUUUAAAGAAGAAAGUUCCGGCGGUAGAAGAUGGGCAUGCGUCCUAUUAGUUAGUUGGAGAGGUAACGGCUCCCCAAGACAUCGAUAGGUAGGGGUCCUGAGAGGGAGACCCCCCACACUGGUACUGAGACACGGACCAGACUCCUACGGGAGGCAGCAGUGAGGAGUAUUGGACAAUGGAGGCAACUCUGAUCCAGCCAUGCCGCGUGCAGGAAGACUGCCCUAUGGGUUGUAAACUGCUUUUAUACAGGAAGAAAUGUACCUACGUGUAGGUAUUUGACGGUACUGUACGAAUAAGGAUCGGCUAACUCCGUGCCAGCAGCCGCGGUAAUACGGAGGAUCCAAGCGUUAUCCGGAAUCAUUGGGUUUAAAGGGUCCGUAGGCGGUCUUUUAAGUCAGAGGUGAAAUCCUACAGCUCAACUGUAGAAUUGCCCUUGAUACUGAAGGACUUGAGUUAUUGUGAAGUAGUUAGAAUGUGUGGUGUAGCGGUGAAAUGCAUAGAGAUCACACAGAAUACCGAUUGCGAAGGCAGAUUACUAACAAUAUACUGACGCUGAGGGACGAAAGCGUGGGUAGCGAACARGAUUAGAUACCCUGGUAGUCCACGCCGUAAACGAUGGAUACUAGCUGUUCGACCAACAUUGGUUGGUUGAGUGGCUAAGCGAA